Molecule: ribosomal RNA, 434 nt
Filed under: uncultured bacterium
Lineage: Bacteria
Description: bacterial SSU rRNA
Rfam family: Bacterial small subunit ribosomal RNA
Source: RNAcentral
AACGCGAAGAACCUUACCUGGUCUUGACAUCCUCGGGAGUUUUCAGAGAUGAGAAUGUGCCUUCGGGAACCGUGAGACAGGUGCUGCAUGGCUGUCGUCAGCUCGUGUUGUGAAAUGUUGGGUUAAGUCCCGCAACGAGCGCAACCCUUAUCCUUUGUUGCCAGCGGUCCGGCCGGGAACUCAAAGGAGACUGCCAGUGAUAAACUGGAGGAAGGUGGGGAUGACGUCAAGUCAUCAUGGCCCUUACGACCAGGGCUACACACGUGCUACAAUGGCGCAUACAAAGAGAAGCGACCUCGCGAGAGCAAGCGGACCUCAUAAAGUGCGUCGUAGUCCGGAUUGGAGUCUGCAACUCGACUCCAUGAAGUCGGAAUCGCUAGUAAUCGUGGAUCAGAAUGCCACGGUGAAUACGUUCCCGGGCCUUGUACACACCG